Podarcis lilfordi (Lilford's wall lizard) is the source of this 80-nucleotide non-coding RNA. NCBI's taxonomy places the organism in Eukaryota, Metazoa, Chordata, Lepidosauria, Squamata, Lacertidae. The record is from the annotation of a GenBank genome assembly.
CAUUGGAUAGCUCAGUUGGUUACAGCAUGGCACUGAUAAUGCCAAGGUUGUAAGUUCGAUCCCCAUAUAUUCCUAUAUGA